RNAcentral lists this ribosomal RNA (278 nucleotides) under uncultured Paludibacter sp. RNAcentral describes it as "partial 16S ribosomal RNA". It matches the Rfam family "Bacterial small subunit ribosomal RNA", at positions 511 to 788 of the family's 1533-position model. The record is from RNAcentral. Lineage: Bacteria; Pseudomonadati; Bacteroidota; Bacteroidia; Bacteroidales; Paludibacteraceae.
GCAGCCGCGGUAAUACGUAGGGAGCGAGCGUUGUCCGGAUUUACUGGGUGUAAAGGGUGCGUAGGCGGAUCUGCAAGUCAGAAGUGAAAUCCACGGGCUUAACCUGUGAACUGCUUUUGAAACUGUAGGUCUUGAGUGAAGUAGAGGUAGGCGGAAUUCCCGGUGUAGCGGUGAAAUGCGUAGAGAUCGGGAGGAACACCAGUGGCGAAGGCGGCCUACUGGGCUUUAACUGACGCUGAGGCACGAAAGUGUGGGUAGCAAACAGGAUUAGAUACCCC